This is a long non-coding RNA of Hyla sarda, 613 nucleotides long. RefSeq lists it as uncharacterized. The transcript is spliced from 2 exons. The record is from RefSeq and is a predicted model, not a curated record. Lineage: Eukaryota; Metazoa; Chordata; Amphibia; Anura; Hylidae.
GUACUCCGCCCCUAGACAUGAAUGGAGGCUGGAAGAAUUACGUUCCUACGUCCGAAACAGCCGGCGUAGCCUCUGAGCGCCCCUUUAUCGUCUCCAUUCAUGCCGUGUUGAUCCCGGACUCGGAGCCCGUAGCAGCUUACCAGCGCCAAUCAGAAAGCAGCACUACUCAAAUAGAAUUCCCGUGAGGUCACACAUGUGAUGUCAUAACCAUUGUCAUUGGUGAGGGGCCUAAACUGUAGGAACCUAGGAUUGCACAUUCACAUUACACACGCCUGUGACUGGUAAGUAUCACAUCUUUUUGUCAAUGUACAUUUCUAUAAUAAUCAUGUAACUAAUCUCUCUUUUCUUUCCCUAUCUUAGAUGCACACUUCCAGGCUGUGGAGGAGCACAUACACUGACACUUUGCCCAAAUUCUAGAGGUAACCUCCUUUAGUAUGCCCAGAGGAAGGGCAGUACAGUAGCCAUGGAUUCCCUACAGGUUUCCUCCCCUCUGGAGGUUUUUCCUGUCCUGAGUUAGUUACUGUCCGCUCUUUGUGAGUGAUGGAGGUUACAUAAAAUCCCUACACAAACAUUUUUGUAAAUAAUAAAUAAAGUUCCCUUUGUUUAAACUGUU